CUGUGAGAUUACAUAUGCAUAUAGUGUUAAUGUUAUAAGAGUGUAGUAUCUACUCACAAAGUUAUCAGGUUAAAUAGUUUUAUCAACUAAUAAAAAUGUUAUUGCAUAACUAAUGUUAUAUACUGUAUCCCUGCCACGAUAUCCAGCGAGAAUUAUUUUGCUGAGUAUCGUAGUAAAAGUUAAGAUAUGAUGUUGAGAAUUUUUUUGAGUCGUGCAACAAUAUUAACAGCAAACUAUAAUACAAAUCUAUCUUUUUAAAAGUUUGUAU
RNAcentral lists this unclassified non-coding RNA (268 nucleotides) under Rickettsia conorii subsp. israelensis. Lineage: Bacteria; Pseudomonadati; Pseudomonadota; Alphaproteobacteria; Rickettsiales; Rickettsiaceae. The record is from RNAcentral.